This 637-nucleotide ribosomal RNA is filed under the name uncultured bacterium. Its description in RNAcentral is "bacterial SSU rRNA". It matches the Rfam family "Bacterial small subunit ribosomal RNA", at positions 607 to 1244 of the family's 1533-position model. The record is from RNAcentral.
GCUCAACCGGGGAGGGUCAUUGGAAACUGGGGAACUUGAGUGCAGAAGAGGAGAGUGGAAUUCCACGUGUAGCGGUGAAAUGCGUAGAAAUGUGGAGGAACACCAGUGGCGAAGGCGACUCUCUGGUCUGUAACUGACGCUGAGGCGCGAAAGCGUGGGGAGCGAACAGGAUUAGAUACCCUGGUAGUCCACGCCGUAAACGAUGAGUGCUAAGUGUUAGAGGGUUUCCGCCCUUUAGUGCUGCAGCAAACGCAUUAAGCACUCCGCCUGGGGAGUACGGUCGCAAGACUGAAACUCAAAGGAAUUGACGGGGGCCCGCACAAGCGGUGGAGCAUGUGGUUUAAUUCGAAGCAACGCGAAGAACCUUACCAGGUCUUGACAUCCUCUGACAACCCUAGAGAUAGGGCUUCCCCUUCGGGGGCAGAGUGACAGGUGGUGCAUGGUUGUCGUCAGCUCGUGUCGUGAGAUGUUGGGUUAAGUCCCGCAACGAGCGCAACCCUUGAUCUUAGUUGCCAGCAUUCAGUUGGGCACUCUAAGGUGACUGCCGGUGACAAACCGGAGGAAGGUGGGGAUGACGUCAAAUCAUCAUGCCCCUUAUGACCUGGGCUACACACGUGCUACAAUGGGCAGAACAAAG